This 254-nucleotide ribosomal RNA is filed under the name uncultured bacterium. RNAcentral describes it as "partial 16S ribosomal RNA". It matches the Rfam family "Bacterial small subunit ribosomal RNA", at positions 524 to 776 of the family's 1533-position model. The record is from RNAcentral.
UACGUAGGGGGCUAGCGUUGUCCGGAAUCAUUGGGCGUAAAGCGCGUGUAGGCGGUUCGGCAAGUCGGGUGUGAAAUUUCGAGGCUCAACCUCGAAACGCCACUCGAUACUGCUGUGACUGGAGUCCGGUAGAGGAGUGCGGAAUUCCUGGUGUAGCGGUGAAAUGCGCAGAUAUCAGGAGGAACACCAACGGCGAAGGCAGCACUCUGGGCCGGUACUGACGCUGAGGAGCGAAAGCGUGGGGAGCAAACAGG